Ailuropoda melanoleuca (giant panda) is the source of this 127-nucleotide small nucleolar RNA. The record is from Ensembl. Lineage: Eukaryota; Metazoa; Chordata; Mammalia; Carnivora; Ursidae.
AUUGGCUAAAAAUCACCUGCAGCUUUGGCUAUGGCUGUUGGUGAGAUUUGGCACCCAGAGCCACAGGGGGCCUCAACUCACUGCCCACUCAUGGGUGUGGGGAGGUGAAACCCAGGCCCCAACCUGC